This 253-nucleotide ribosomal RNA is filed under the name uncultured bacterium. RNAcentral's name for it is "partial 16S ribosomal RNA". It matches the Rfam family "Bacterial small subunit ribosomal RNA", at positions 524 to 776 of the family's 1533-position model. The record is from RNAcentral.
UACGGAGGGGGCCAGCGUUGUUCGGAAUUAUUGGGCGUAAAGGGCGCGUAGGCGGCUGGGUAAGUCAAAUGUGAAAUCCCGAGGCUCAACCACGGAAUUGCGUUUGAAACUGCCUAGCUUGAGUCCCGGAGAGGGUAGUGGAAUUCCCAGUGUAGCGGUGAAAUGCGUAGAUAUUGGGAGGAACACCAGUGGCGAAGGCGACUACCUGGACGGGUACUGACGCUGAGGCGCGAAAGCGUGGGGAGCAAACAGG